AUUGAACGCUGGCGGCAGGCCUAACACAUGCAAGUCGAGCGGAUGAAGGGAGCUUGCUCCUGGAUUCAGCGGCGGACGGGUGAGUAAUGCCUAGGAAUCUGCCUGGUAGUGGGGGAUAACGUCCGGAAACGGGCGCUAAUACCGCAUACGUCCUGAGGGAGAAAGUGGGGGAUCUUCGGACCUCACGCUAUCAGAUGAGCCUAGGUCGGAUUAGCUAGUUGGUGGGGUAAAGGCCUACCAAGGCGACGAUCCGUAACUGGUCUGAGAGGAUGAUCAGUCACACUGGAACUGAGACACGGUCCAGACUCCUACGGGAGGCAGCAGUGGGGAAUAUUGGACAAUGGGCGAAAGCCUGAUCCAGCCAUGCCGCGUGUGUGAAGAAGGUCUUCGGAUUCUAAAGCACUUUUAGUUGGGAGGAAGGGCAGUAAGUUAAUACCUUGCUGUUUUGACGUUACCAACAGAAUAAGCACCGGCUAACUUCGUG
RNAcentral lists this ribosomal RNA (484 nucleotides) under uncultured bacterium. RNAcentral describes it as "partial 16S ribosomal RNA". It matches the Rfam family "Bacterial small subunit ribosomal RNA", at positions 30 to 507 of the family's 1533-position model. The record is from RNAcentral.